This is an RNA transcript of Aedes albopictus (Asian tiger mosquito), 7318 nucleotides long. RefSeq lists it as uncharacterized. The transcript has 3 exons. Lineage: Eukaryota; Metazoa; Arthropoda; Insecta; Diptera; Culicidae. The record is from RefSeq and is a predicted model, not a curated record.
UUGGCAACCCGGCUGCCAGCGCGCAUCUACUAUCUGCAACCUCUAGCUACACACACCUACAAGAGGGAUUUGGAGCAGGUGACAGCUCCAACGAUGAGUAUGAUUAUUGCCGUAAGUAGGGAAAAAAUCCAAAACACAAAUACGAUAUACACGUUGUUCUGAAUUCUAUAAUUUCAAAAUCAGAUAAAAACCUGUUAUUUUCAUUUUCACAGUGUCUGUAGCUUAAUAAGGUAUUUAGAGUGCAAAAAACUAUAAUUGUACAUAAAAAUAAUCUAUUAACAUUAAUGUUAGGUACCUGGACAGUGAAGUGAAUUUCGUCUUUCUAACCAUAAAUUCCCAACCUUUGCAAACUCUACAACUACGGUAAGCAAUGAAGCAUUGAAUUUCUAGCAUCAAAUAUUUAUUGGAAUUACAUCAUUAAUUAGGUAUUCGGCCUACGAAUUCGCUGAAGACAGGCCAGCACACUUAGGGGACUAAACGAGAAUUAUAAUCUGCCGCUGAAAUACACCCAGUUACCGUGUUUAAUUUGCGGUGAUUAUAGUCACGGAAAUCUCCCCAUCAGUUCCGUUGGCACAGCUGCCAACAUCUUAUAAUUCUCGUUUAUUGGUGAUUCAGUGAUGUCGAACCGUAGUGAGUUAGAUAAAGGUGAGAAAGGCGGAAGGAAGAAUAAGGUAGCGAAAUCUAAAUCAAGCCGUAAUGAAGUGAACGAGUGCACAGAGAACAGUGGUCCAGUAGUGGUGGUUACGGACGAGUCUGAUCCGCCGAAUGUGUCAGCAAUCAAUAAAACCUUGCCAGGUCGUUCAUGCAAGUCCUGUCGAGGUCCUGAUGCCGGAGGAAUGGUGCAAUGCGACGAAUGCAGUAAAUGGCAUCAUUUCACCUGUGUUGGAGUAACGGAAGAUGUUGAGAACCACAGCUGGAGUUGCCCUAAAUGCGUUUCUGCCAAAUGGGUCCAGCGAGAAAACUCUACAUCGAGCAAACACCUCCAACCAAGCGAUGCGAGUCAACGGGAACCAGACCAGGCAGUAAAUCCUGACCACGAACGAGAUUUGGCUAGGGAUGGAGAAUCAGAUAGAGUUCUUCAGAAAGUGCCCAGCAUCGUAAAGUCCACGUCAUCUAAGAGGUCAUCAAGAACGCUUCUCAAACUGCAGAUGGAAAAACUGGAAGAAGAACAUAGGCUAGAGCGCGAGUAUCUGGACCGAAAAUACGCCCUUCUGCAAGAGAUGGCUAGCGAGGAUGGUUCAUCGUAUACUUCCAGUGUCUCGUCCAGCAUGAAUCGAGUUCGGGACUGGGUGAAAUCCAAUAAUCAAAAGGAGGAUGACCCGAUCAACCAGGUUCCGUUUGAACCUCAACGAAACUCCACCCAUUAUCUACAGUCAGUGCGCCCGGAAAAUCCUGACCGACUGUCGGCAGGCAUUGAUCAGCUUUCAAUUGGACGUACAUUUUCGGUCGGAGGAGGAAUCCCGAAUCACCUACAUUCAGCCGGACCCGUAACAUCAGUUAACUUCCGUGAAGACGUACAACUGCAACCAAAGUCAACGAUGCGAUCUUCUGUACCAGUUGUUCCGAGCUACUAUCAGCAACCGUCAGCGCCCCGUUAUCACCCAUCAGCAGCUCUGCUCCCCGGAACAAGUACGCAGCGUGGGGAGUUUUUGAGAGAGCCUACCGUUGUGCAGCACGACCAUUCUCGCCACGUAGAGGACUUUGACGAUCCUUGCCCGAUUACCGCAAAACAAAUAGCCGCCCGACAGGCUAUCUCAAAAGAGUUGCCAGCAUUUUCAGGGAAACCAGAUGAAUGGCCAAUUUUCUUUUCUGCAUUUUCGAACACUACGGCGAUGUGCGGUUUCACCGAUGGGGAAAACACGACUAGAUUACAAAAAUGCCUCACCGGUAAAGCGUAUGACUCCGUGAAAAGUCUUCUAAUGCAUCCAUCCAAUGUGAAGAGAGUUAUUGCUACAUUGCGAAUGCGGUUCGGACAACCAGAAGCCAUAGUACAAUCCCUCAUUGAGAGAAUAAAUACAUUGCCAACUCUAAGAGAGGAUAAGUUGGAAACUAUCAUGGAUUUCGCAGUAGAGGUGCAAAACUUCUGCUCUAUUGUAGACGCUUGUGGCCUUGAAGAACAUAUGUACAAUGUGGCAAUGCUUCACCAGCUCGUCAGUAAACUUCCACCAUCGAUCAAGCUGGACUGGGCUAGGCACCGCCAAAUGUUCUCGAAAAUCAACUUGGCAACCUUCGGGAAUUGGAUGUAUUCCUUGGCGGAAGCAGCCAGCUCUGUAACCAUCCCUGGAUCAAGCCCCGGAUCCCAAGAACCCAAGACUGUACGAGGUGAACCCCGUCUCCAGAAAAAAGGAUCCGGCUUUCUGAACGCGCAUCUAGAAACGGAAUCAACUGCUGCUCGAGAAACAAGUGAGCUUCAGAAGAACACCAAAGGUGGAUGUCUCGUAUGCAAAGCCUGCUGUGACAGUGUCGUCGAUUGUAAACAAUUCCUAGAAUUGUCUCGGGGUUCUCGAUGGGCCGUUGUGAGAGAAUUUGGUCUCUGUCGACGCUGUCUACUGAAGCACAAUGGCAGUUGUGAUGCGAAAGCUUGCGGAAAGGAUGGAUGCACGUUUAAGCAUCAUGCACUUCUUCACAAAGAACAGAGCGGCAAGCAUGAAACGACUCCCUCAGAAUCGACCGGCAACCCAGAUUCUGCUCAUCACGGAUGUAAUACACACCGCUCCCAUUCCAGCUCAGCGUUGUUCCGCUAUAUUCCAGUGAUUGUCUAUGGAGAGAAAUCAUCUGUACACACCUUUGCAUUUCUUGACGAUGGGUCGGAGUUAACACUUCUGGACAACGAUCUAGCUAACGAGCUAGGGCUUACAGGAUCAGAAGUUCCACUGAAUCUGCGCUGGACUGGUGGGACUGAGCGAUGUGAAAAGGAAUCUCGCAUAACACGUCUUGCAAUCACUGGUGUGCAAGAUAGAGCGAAGCAGUUUACACUAGAUGAAGUGCGAACGGUGAAGGAGCUCCAGUUACCUCAUCAGUCUUUGGACAUGGACGAAAUGAAAGAACGGUACCCACAUCUUCGAGGGCUACCCAUCAAAUCAUACGAAAGGGUGCGCCCCAGGAUUCUGAUUGGCAUGAAACACGUUCACGUCAGCCUGGUACUUCAAAGUCGCGAAGGAAAACCGGAGCAACCAAUUGCUACCAAAACAAGGCUCGGUUGGACUGUGUGCGGCGCAAGCUACGAAAACAGAGGAUCAAGUAUGGUACACUAUACCUUCCAUAUUGGGACUACUGCAACUUCUGACGAGGAUUUACACCAAGCAAUGAAGGAGUACUUUUCCCUGGAUAGUAUGGGUGUAGUGAAAUCUAAUCAAUCUCUACUUUCAUCUGAAGAUCAAAGAGCGUAUUCGCUACUGGAAGCUCGUACCAUUCGUAAAGGCAACAGAUAUGAGACUGGUUUGUUAUGGCGCUUCGAUAAUAGCCGUCUUCCGAACAGCCGGUCAAUGGCUCUACAUCGACAUCAACUUUUAGAAAAACGUAUGCAGAAGGAUCCUCAGCUAGCGGCAGCACUGAACCAGAAGAUAGCUGACUAUCGACAGAAAGGUUACAUACGAAAGCUACAAAAAGAUGAAGAAAGCAAAUCACUUCAGCGUUCUUGGUAUCUCCCCGUUUUUCCGGUAGUUAACCCAAACAAGCCUGGUAAAAUACGGAUAGUCUGGGAUGCAGCUGCUACUACCUAUGGAGUCUCUUUGAACUCAGCCCUUCUGAAAGGACCCGAUCAGCUGUGUUCGCUUUUUUCAAUCCUAGUUCAGUUCAGGAAGCAUCGAAUUGGAAUAACUGGUGACAUUUCCGAGAUGUUUCAUCAGGUUCAGAUAAGAGAGGAAGACAGACCAUGCCAGCGUUUCUUUUGGAAUGAAGAUGGAACUACCGCAGUCUAUGAAAUGUGCGUCAUGACAUUUGGGGCAUGCUGUUCUCCUAGUAGUGCCCAGUAUGUAAAAAACUUGAAUGCUGAAAGGUUCUCCGGACAAUAUCCUGAAGCAGUCGAUACAAUUACGAAGAAACACUACGUGGAUGACAUGCUAGAUAGCGUAGAAUCAGAAGAAGAAGCUAUCCAACUAGCACAGAAUGUGAAAUAUGUGCACAGUCAGGGCGGUUUUGAGAUCCGCAAUUGGAUAUCCAACUCGGAGAAGGUCAUGGCCGUAUUAGGUGGAAGUGAAACGUCAACGAAGUGUUUGAACCUGUGCGCUGAAAUGUCGAUGGAGAAGGUGCUGGGCUUAUGGUGGUGUACAGAAUCAGACGCCUUCACAUAUAAGGUUGGAUGGAACCGAUACGACGAAGCUCUACUGGGAGGACAAAGACGACCCACGAAACGUGAAGUUCUGCGAGUGCUAAUGACGAUUUUUGAUCCAUUGGGCCUUAUUGCUCAUUUUCUGAUAUACCUUAAGGUAUUGCUCCAAGAAAUAUGGCGCUCCGGUAUUCAAUGGGACGAUGAAAUCGACGACAACUUGUUGGAAAAAUGGAAGCUCUGGCUCCGAGUUCUACCAGAAGUGGAAAAAGUUCAAAUUCCUCGCUGCUACCGUACACAAGUGAACUAUGAGUGUGAUGUGCAACUUCAUACGUUUGUCGACGCCAGCGAGAAUAGUUUUGCUGCUGUAUCAUUUCUCCGGUUCGCGAGCGAAAGUCGGGUAGAAUGCAUCAUUGUCGCUUCCAAAACUCGUGUUGCGCCGUUGAAGUUUCAAUCCAUACCUAGACUUGAGCUGCAGGCUGCUGUUCUGGGAAUCAGACUGGCGCAGAGUAUUGCCGAAUCCUUAUCCAUUCGUUUCACCAAGCGAUGUUUUUGGACCGAUUCUCAAGAUGUGCUUUGCUGGAUAAAUUCAGACCACCGUCGUUACUCCCAAUUCGUGGCCCAUCGUGUUAGCGAAAUUCUCGAUAUAACGGAGAGUACUGACUGGUUUUGGGUGCCAACAAAACUGAAUGUAGCUGACGACGCCACGAAAUGGAUCACGCAACCGGACUUGUCUAACGAGAGUAGAUGGUUCAAGGGACCUAGCUUCCUAUGUAAAUCAGAAGAAGAAUGGCCGGCGCAACCACCAAGGAACAAUACAACUGCUGCAGAGGUUCGUGCAAACUUGGUCGGUCACCUGUCAGCAUCACGUCCAUUGAUAGUUUUCGAGAACUUCUCGUCUUGGAAAAGAUUAGCUCGCGUAGUUGGAUUUGCACAGCGCUUCUUGAACAACUGUCGUCAAAAGAAGGAAAAUCUACCCGGCUGUGACGGAGUGCUCUCUGCAACAGAAACAAAUGAUGCUGAAGAGUGCAUAUUACGCCUGAUCCAACAAGAAACCUACGCCGAUGAGAUAUCAGCCCUUAAGAAACAAAAGGCUGUACCGAAAACCAGCACAUUGGUGAAGCUUAGCCCAUGGCUGGACGAUCGUGGGAUACUCAGAAUGCUGGGACGAACGUCAAGUUGCCUGUUCAUUACCAAGGAUGCGAAAAACCCAAUAAUUCUACCCCGCGACCAUCAUGUUACUUCUCUGGUUAUCUCCUUCUACCAUAACAAGUUCCACCAUCUCAACCAUGAGACUGUUGUAAACGAGUUGCGACAGAAGUACUGGAUCCCACGUGUUCGAGUCUGCUAUUCUAAGGUCCGCAAAAACUGUCAGCGAUGCAAAAAUGAACGAGCGAUUCCGCAUCCUCCGAUAAUGGCAGACCUUCCGCCUGCAAGAUUGGCAGCAUUUACAAGGCCAUUUACUCACGUGGGUAUAGAUUACUUCGGACCUAUAGAAGUGGCGAUUGGUAGAAGAGUAGAAAAACGCUGGGGUAUGCUUGCCACUUGUAUGACAACGCGCGCCGUGCACAUUGAAAUCGCCCACUCUCUAAGCACUAGCUCAUGUGUAAUGGCCAUCCGAAACAUGAUCGCUCGUCGCGGGAUUCCCCGCCAAAUAUAUUGUGAUCGUGGAACUAAUUUUGUUGGAGCUAGUCGUGAGUUGGCUCGUAUAGCGAAGGAUUUGAAUCAUGAAGCUAUUAUGAGUGAGAUCGUUAGUCCCGAUACACAGUGGUCGUUUAAUCCACCUUCCUCACCACAUAUGGGCGGGAGCUGGGAACGACUAAUACGCAGCGUCAAGGAUAAUCUUGCAUCUCUGAACCUUCCACGAAAGCCGUCUGACGAAGUACUUCGAAACGCAUUUGCCGAGAUUGAGAACACUUUGAAUGCAAGGCCUCUGACUCAUGUCGCUAUCGAGGACCACGCGGCUCCAGCUCUGACUCCAAACCACAUUCUCCUUGGAAGUUCUAGUGGAACGAAACCACUGACUACAUUAGAUGAUAGCAGCGUAGCCGUACGCCAGUGUUGGAGAGCAUCACAGCUUAUAGCUAACCAGUUCUGGAAGAGAUGGUUGACAGAUUAUCUUCCAGAAAUUACCAGGAGAACCAAGUGGCACUCCCCUUGUUCACGCCCUUUGAAAGUUGGCGAUAUAGUCAUCAUUACGGAUCCUAAGCUGCCACGGAACUGUUGGCCGAGAGGAAAAAUUAUCUCGACGCGUCCUAGUAAGGAUGGGGAAGUCAGAUCAGCUACAGUACGGACAUCUAGUGGUGUAUACGAGCGCCCAGUGGUCAAGCUGGCGGUGCUGGACAUCAUGCGCGAAGAGGAGUAAGUCUUCCAGCUGUGCGACGUACCUGGGGGGAGUGUUGGCAACCCGGCUGCCAGCGCGCAUCUACUAUCUGCAACCUCUAGCUACACACACCUACAAGAGGGAUUUGGAGCAGGUGACAGCUCCAACGAUGAGUAUGAUUAUUGCCGUAAGUAGGGAAAAAAUCCAAAACACAAAUACGAUAUACACGUUGUUCUGAAUUCUAUAAUUUCAAAAUCAGAUAAAAACCUGUUAUUUUCAUUUUCACAGUGUCUGUAGCUUAAUAAGGUACCUGGACAGUGAAGUGAAUUUCGUCUUUCUAACCAUAAAUUCCCAACCUUUGCAAACUCUACAACUACGGUAAGCAAUGAAGCAUUGAAUUUCUAGCAUCAAAUAUUUAUUGGAAUUACAUCAUUAAUUAGGUAUUCGGCCUACGAAUUCGCUGAAGACAGGCCAGCACACUUAGGGGACUAAACGUAAGUCUGAUCAUAUUAAAUAUAAAAUAGCAUUUAUAUCAUAUUGCCAUUGCAUAACUUGAAGCCUGUACACCUUAUAAUCUGUCCACACGUAAACCGAUUUUGUUGUACACCUUAUUUCCAAUAGGAGAAUUAUAAUCUGCCGCUGAAAUACACCCAGUUACCGUGUUUAAUUUGCGGUGAUUAUAGUCACGGAAAUCUCCCCAUCAGUUCCGUUGGCACAGCUGCCAACAC